Molecule: unclassified non-coding RNA, 21 nt
Filed under: Dictyostelium discoideum
Lineage: Eukaryota; Evosea; Eumycetozoa; Dictyosteliales; Dictyosteliaceae
Source: RNAcentral
CUCAUGUAAUGUCCUUCGCUC